Molecule: long non-coding RNA, 821 nt
Filed under: Apteryx rowi (Okarito brown kiwi)
Lineage: Eukaryota; Metazoa; Chordata; Aves; Apterygiformes; Apterygidae
Description: lncRNA (ENSARWG00000010883.1)
Source: RNAcentral
CUUUCCUUUUGUAUUUGUUUCAAAAUGUUUGUGUGGKUUUUUUUGUUUGUKUUUUCUUUUUUUAGGGAGUUCCAUAGGUUACAGCAGCAGUGAACUGGUCUACUUGGAGAAUGCCCUACUACCUGCAAAUAGGGGUUGCUUUGUCUGAGCUGGCACUUAAUGAGAAGAAGCACAACCCACCCAGCUUAAAAUUUAUUUGAUACGGAUAAGUUUUCUGUGCUUGAAGUUAAAUGAGUAGUUUGCAGCUAGAUAUGGUGAUUGGCCUAACCAACUUGCAUCAUGAAAUUGUAAAACUCCUAAUACAGUGCAGGGGAGAGAGAGAGAUUGAGACUGCUCCUCUGCUACUGCGCUCUUACUGUGAUCAACUCUGACCAUCCUAAAAUUGCACCAGUGAUCUCUGUAGUACGUGUGGCUUGCGUUAUCCUUUGGCAGUUUGCUGAGCGUGUGCUCYGGUCCUCAUCCUGGSUGCGAAUGGGUAUGUUUGGACGCCACCGUUGGCCCUGGACAUUUAGCCUUUGCUUACAACCCUGAGAAACGGCAAUCCAGGCAGUUGUUCGGCUCACCUUCCCUUCUGCUAGUUGAGCUCCUGCUUCCUCAGCUUYCAGGUGAGGCUGCAGUGGGAGACUGUCAAAAGCUGUACUAAAGUCCAAGUGUGUCACAUGCACCAUUCAACCUUCAAAAUAGCUUGCAUCAUAUGAGCUUUGUCUGUCAUUUGAUAAAUCUUUGUUAACUGUUUGUGAUUAUCUUCCUGUCCAUAUAUUUAGAAAUGAAUUCCAUGUAGGGUGUUCUGUACUUCUUCCAGAUGCUGAGGUUAAGCUGAA